GUUUGCCUGUGUGUGGAUGGUGUUCAGCACCAGGGACAGGUGUGUUUGCCUGUGUGUAGAUGGUGUUCAGCACCAGGGACAAGUAUGUUUGCCU
Molecule: non-coding RNA, 94 nt
Organism: Branchiostoma floridae (Florida lancelet)
Lineage: Eukaryota; Metazoa; Chordata; Leptocardii; Amphioxiformes; Branchiostomatidae
Source: Rfam